Molecule: ribosomal RNA, 678 nt
Filed under: uncultured Rhodoferax sp.
Lineage: Bacteria; Pseudomonadati; Pseudomonadota; Betaproteobacteria; Burkholderiales; Comamonadaceae
Description: bacterial SSU rRNA
Rfam family: Bacterial small subunit ribosomal RNA
Source: RNAcentral
GCUGUGCUAAUACCGCAUACGAUCUCUGGAUGAAAGCGGGGGACUCGCAAGAGCCUCGCGCGAUUGGAGCGGCCGAUAUCAGAUUAGCUAGUUGGUGGGGUAAAAGCCCACCAAGGCGACGAUCUGUAGCUGGUCUGAGAGGACGACCAGCCACACUGGAACUGAGACACGGUCCAGACUCCUACGGGAGGCAGCAGUGGGGAAUUUUGGACAAUGGGCGCAAGCCUGAUCCAGCAAUGCCGCGUGCAGGAUGAAGGCCUUCGGGUUGUAAACUGCUUUUGUACGGAACGAAACGGUUCUUUCUAAUAAAGAGAGCUAAUGACGGUACCGUAAGAAUAAGCACCGGCUAACUACGUGCCAGCAGCCGCGGUAAUACGUAGGGUGCGAGCGUUAAUCGGAAUUACUGGGCGUAAAGCGUGCGCAGGCGGUGAUGUAAGACAGAUGUGAAAUCCCCGGGCUCAACCUGGGACCUGCAUUUGUGACUGCAUCGCUAGAGUACGGUAGAGGGGGAUGGAAUUCCGCGUGUAGCAGUGAAAUGCGUAGAUAUGCGGAGGAACACCGAUGGCGAAGGCAAUCCCCUGGACCUGUACUGACGCUCAUGCACGAAAGCGUGGGGAGCAAACAGGAUUAGAUACCCUGGUAGUCCACGCCCUAAACGAUGUCAACUGGUUGUUGGGU